Molecule: ribosomal RNA, 407 nt
Filed under: uncultured Propionicimonas sp.
Lineage: Bacteria; Bacillati; Actinomycetota; Actinomycetes; Propionibacteriales; Nocardioidaceae
Description: bacterial SSU rRNA
Rfam family: Bacterial small subunit ribosomal RNA
Source: RNAcentral
AGGGAAUAUUGCUCAAUGGGCGAAAGCCUGAAGCAGCAACGCCGCGUGCGGGAUGAAGGCCUUCGGGUUGUAAACCGCUUUCAGCAGGGACGAAGGGUUUCUGACGGUACCUGCCGAAGAAGCACCGGCUAACUACGUUCCAGCAGCCGCGGUGAUACGUAGGGUGCGAGCGUUGUCCGGAAUUAUUGGGCGUAAAGAGCUUGUUAGGCGGUCCGUCACGUCGGAAGUGAAAACUCAGGGCUUAACCCUGAGCCUGCUUUCGAUACGUGCAGACUUGAGGGAUGUAGGGGAGAACGGAAUUCCUGGUGGAGCGCUGGAAUGCGCAGAUAUCAGGAGGAACACCAGUGGCGAAGGCGGUUCUCUGGACAUUUCCUGACGCUGAGAUGCGAAAGCGUGGGGAGCAAACA